CCAUUCAUCAUUAUAUAUAUUAUCUUUCUCCACAAACUACCAUCUCACUAAAUAAGCCAAAACUCUUUCUCUUCCACCCUUCCCAAGAUUCAUUCAAUCUCUCUCUUCUCUACGAUUUCAACCUCCAACCAUCUUCUUCUUAAAUCUUCUCCAUUUUUAGUUUCCCUCUGUUUCAUCAUCAUCAAAUUUUUAGUUUCCCCUAUUCCGAUUUGGUUUUUGGAUCUUAAGGCACUGAUUAGGGAGUGUUGUGGUUGUUGGUAUGGGCAUAGAGGGAAACAUAUUGCCACAUUGAAACAAACAGAAACACAGAAAGAAAAAAGAACCGAUCUAAGUCGAAGAGAAGGAGAACGGGAAAGAAACCGACGAACAAACGCCUCACACGAUAUUUUUUCACGAUUCAUUGCUUAUUGAACCAUUCGUCUCAUGUGUCGCCCGGUUGAAAAAUACAAAAUGAGAGGAAUUCCAAUUAUCAGAUCUGGAUGUCUCUUCUUUAUAUAAUUGUACUUGAUUAGGGUCUUUUGGUUUUUUUAUUUUAUUUUUUGAGAUAUUUCUUUAUCCCUUCAAAGUGGAUGUUAUCUUGUGUUAGGAAUUGAAAUAGAGUUGAAAGAAUGUGAAUUAGUGUUAUUUUUUAUUUUUAGAUUUUAAGUCUGAGUUAGUGUUGUGUUUUAUUUUUAUGUUUUGAGUUUUUUUUAUGCAGGUGAUGAAAAUUUAUAAAGAAGGAGAUGGAUUAGAAUGUUGUUUGCAGCAUGUGUUGGUGUUGUAUUUUUGAGUUGUUGUGAUGGUUCAAAUUUUAUAGGUGAUGAAAAUUUAUAAAGAAGAAGAUGGAUUAGAAUGUUGUUUGCAGCUGCGGUUGAAUAUUGUUUUGUUUCUCAAAUGUGUUGGUGUUGUAUUAUUUAGUUGUUGUGAUGGUUCAAAUUAUAGGUUAAGUUUUGUGGAUUAUUGAUGUAAAGUAUCAAUGAAAGUUUCUAAGUUUUGUGGAUUAUUGAUGUAAAGUAUCAAUGAAAGUUUCUACCUAUAGGAUAAUAGCUUUCCUAGCUU
Molecule: long non-coding RNA, 1038 nt
Organism: Vicia villosa (hairy vetch)
Lineage: Eukaryota; Viridiplantae; Streptophyta; Magnoliopsida; Fabales; Fabaceae
Exons: 3
Source: RefSeq, a predicted model, not a curated record